CACUCUUUUGUUAAAAGGGGUUUUUACCACUCAGUUAUGACAAAGGAAUAGCAUUCGAUUUAUUUGCUUAUUGAACCAUGGCAUAGCUAUAAUUGUCUUUAGCAUUAGCAACAGAUGGCUAAUUCCUCCUUCUCUUUAAGACCACCACGGAUAGAAGGCAGUUCUUUUUGGGCACUAAAAAUAUUCCUUUCUCUUUGGCUGCUGGGGUUAAAUGUCAGAGUUUGGUUUUGGUUUCUGACUAUUGUGUGUUGUUGCUCUUUUCCCACCGCUGCUGGCUUUUCUCCUGACAGACAUUACAGCAACAUAAAAACAAAUCUUGAUUUGUUUCCCGAAACCCCAGUGAGCCAUGCAAAUGGCUCUGCAAUCACCUGUGGAGGCCAUGAUGUUUCAAGACCCAAUCUGAAUUUCUUCACUGACAGAAGAGUUGUCCUGUAUGGUUUGUCCUUGUACUGGAUCAAGGGCCUUGAAGACUUAUGUGCCUCUGCAUAUUCAGGGACAGAUAUUGUGAUAUGCAGCCAGUCCUGUGCAAAGCUGAAAAUGUUACCUAACGUUGGUCUCAACAAGCUGGAGAGAAGUGGUGGAGGGAGACUGUCAUGUUACUGGUGAAUAGAGACGUUCACACAAGCAAAUAAACACUGAAGGUCUUCAGUGACUGAUUUUAAUCAGUAGUGAUUAAAGUCAAGAGAGUGACAGUGUGACAACAUGAAUGGCUGUUCAUGCUUUCCUAAAGUUCAAGGCUUCUAGAAUUUACAGUGUUUUAAGCACCUCCAGGUCAAUCACAUAAAAAUGGACAAUGCUUGCAAGAUUGUGUCAGAUGCUCAUUAUCAAAACAAGGGAAGAGAACAAAGACUCAUCACUCAAUUGCAGCAAAAGUCAGCUUUGAAAGGCUUUGCCCUUGUGCUGGAAACCCUGUGUUCCAGCUGCUUUCUUCAAGAAUUGUAGAAUCAUUUGUAUUGGAAAGGGAAAAGAUGAUUUAAAGAUAAUCUAGUCCAGAAAAACCAAGAUCAUCUGGUCUAGAGAAGUGAUAGUUCCACCUUGCUCUUCGUUUGGUAGAGCCCCUGCUACUGACAGCAGAUGUGGCGUGAACAGCUUGGACAAGCCACUUGACUGGGGACGUCUGAACUUCUGAACCCAGUGCGGAUGAUUCACCAUCAUUUGGCAGCCAGAACCAUAACUGGAGUAGAAAUAAAACCCCCCAGUGCUCAGCAAAAGUUGUUUAAACAGUCAUUGGAAAUAUCAAAUAAAUACAGUGAAAUAUUUACUUGCUAAAAUGUUAUUUGCAGUAAUUGCAUAUUUUAUCUUUAACAGCUGGUUGUGUUUGUUACCUGUCUGAUUUUUUAUUCACACUUAAACUGUAGCAACUUAUUUAAAACUGCAUUUAUUAUUUUUCCUGUGCAGGUUGCAGAAAUGAGUGUCAAUAGGAGCACUAUGGAAAUGAAUCAAUUUGUAAUUACAAUAGCAUUAAAUAUAUUUUUCUAGUGUCUGAAUGGAAAACAUUUCAUAUGAAAAAUUAAUUCCACCCACUUGAAAGAGGAAAUCAAAGUUGUGCUUUAGUCUCUGCUCUUUAAAAAUAG
This is a long non-coding RNA of Poecile atricapillus (Black-capped chickadee), 1574 nucleotides long. RefSeq lists it as uncharacterized. The transcript has 3 exons. NCBI's taxonomy places the organism in Eukaryota, Metazoa, Chordata, Aves, Passeriformes, Paridae. The record is from RefSeq and is a predicted model, not a curated record.